CCUACGGGAGGCAGCAGUGAGGAAUAUUGGUCAAUGGACGAGAGUCUGAACCAGCCAAGUAGCGUGAAGGAUGACUGCCCUAUGGGUUGUAAACUUCUUUUAUCACGGAAUAAAACGGGGCACUUGUGCCUUUUUGCAUGUACUUUAUGAAUAAGGAUCGGCUAACUCCGUGCCAGCAGCCGCGGUAAUACGGAGGAUCCGAGCGUUAUCCGGAUUUAUUGGGUGUAAAGGGAGCGUAGAUGGGUUGUUAAGUCAGUUGUGAAAGUUUGCGGCUCAACCGUAAAAUUGCAAUUGAUACUGGCAGUCUUGAGUACAGUUGAGGUAGGCGGAAUUCGUGGUGUAGCGGUGAAAGGAGUAGAUAUCACGAAGAACCCCGAUUGCGAAGGCAGCUUACUAAACUGUGACUGACAUUGAUGCUCGAAAGUGUGGGUAUCAAACAGGAGUAGAUACCCCUGUAGUC
Molecule: ribosomal RNA, 460 nt
Filed under: uncultured bacterium
Lineage: Bacteria
Description: partial 16S ribosomal RNA
Rfam family: Bacterial small subunit ribosomal RNA
Source: RNAcentral